RNAcentral lists this ribosomal RNA (505 nucleotides) under uncultured bacterium. RNAcentral describes it as "partial 16S ribosomal RNA". It matches the Rfam family "Bacterial small subunit ribosomal RNA", at positions 28 to 507 of the family's 1533-position model. The record is from RNAcentral.
GACGAACGCUGGCGGCGUGCCUAAUACAUGCAAGUAGAACGCACAGUUUAUACCGUAGCUUGCUACACCAUAGACUGUGAGUUGCGAACGGGUGAGUAACGCGUAGGUAACCUGCCUGGUAGCGGGGGAUAACUAUUGGAAACGAUAGCUAAUACCGCAUAAUAUUGAUUAUUGCAUGAUAAUUGAUUGAAAGAUGCUAUUGCAUCACUACCAGAUGGACCUGCGUUGUAUUAGCUAGUAGGUGAGGUAACGGCUCACCUAGGCGACGAUACAUAGCCGACCUGAGAGGGUGAUCGGCCACACUGGGACUGAGACACGGCCCAGACUCCUACGGGAGGCAGCAGUAGGGAAUCUUCGGCAAUGGACGAAAGUCUGAACGAGCAACGCCGCGUGAGUGAAGAAGGUUGUCGGAUCGUAAAGCUCUGUUGUAAGAGAAGAACGGGUGUGAGAGUGGAAAGUUCACACUGUGACGGUAUCUUACCAGAAAGGGACGGCUAACUACGUG